This 1372-nucleotide ribosomal RNA is filed under the name uncultured bacterium. Its description in RNAcentral is "bacterial SSU rRNA". It matches the Rfam family "Bacterial small subunit ribosomal RNA", at positions 28 to 1381 of the family's 1533-position model. The record is from RNAcentral.
GAUAAACGCUGGCGGCGUGCCUAAUACAUGCAAGUCGAGCGAACGGACGAGAAGCUUGCUUCUCUGAUGUUAGCGGCGGACGGGUGAGUAACACGUGGAUAACCUACCUAUAAGACUGGGAUAACUUCGGGAAACCGGAGCUAAUACCGGAUAAUAUUUUGAACCGCAUGGUUCAAAAGUGAAAGACGGUCUUACUGUCACUUAUAGAUGGAUCCGCGCUGCAUUAGCUAGUUGGUAAGGUAACGGCUUACCAAGGCAACGAUGCAUAGCCGACCUGAGAGGGUGAUCGGCCACACUGGAACUGAGACACGGUCCAGACUCCUACGGGAGGCAGCAGUAGGGAAUCUUCCGCAAUGGGCGAAAGCCUGACGGAGCAACGCCGCGUGAGUGAUGAAGGUCUUCGGAUCGUAAAACUCUGUUAUUAGGGAAGAACAUAUGUGUAAGUAACUGUGCACAUCUUGACGGUACCUAAUCAGAAAGCCACGGCUAACUACGUGCCAGCAGCCGCGGUAAUACGUAGGUGGCAAGCGUUAUCCGGAAUUAUUGGGCGUAAAGCGCGCGUAGGCGGUUUUUUAAGUCUGAUGUGAAAGCCCACGGCUCAACCGUGGAGGGUCAUUGGAAACUGGAAAACUUGAGUGCAGAAGAGGAAAGUGGAAUUCCAUGUGUAGCGGUGAAAUGCGCAGAGAUAUGGAGGAACACCAGUGGCGAAGGCGACUUUCUGGUCUGUAACUGACGCUGAUGUGCGAAAGCGUGGGGAUCAAACAGGAUUAGAUACCCUGGUAGUCCACGCCGUAAACGAUGAGUGCUAAGUGUUAGGGGGUUUCCGCCCCUUAGUGCUGCAGCUAACGCAUUAAGCACUCCGCCUGGGGAGUACGACCGCAAGGUUGAAACUCAAAGGAAUUGACGGGGACCCGCACAAGCGGUGGAGCAUGUGGUUUAAUUCGAAGCAACGCGAAGAACCUUACCAAAUCUUGACAUCCUUUGACAACUCUAGAGAUAGAGCCUUCCCCUUCGGGGGACAAAGUGACAGGUGGUGCAUGGUUGUCGUCAGCUCGUGUCGUGAGAUGUUGGGUUAAGUCCCGCAACGAGCGCAACCCUUAAGCUUAGUUGCCAUCAUUAAGUUGGGCACUCUAAGUUGACUGCUGGUGACAAACCGGAGGAAGGUGGGGAUGACGUCAAAUCAUCAUGCCCCUUAUGAUUUGGGCUACACACGUGCUACAAUGGACAAUACAAAGGGCAGCGAAACCGCGAGGUCAAGCAAAUCCCAUAAAGUUGUUCUCAGUUCAGAUUGUAGUCUGCAACUCGACUACAUGAAGCUGGAAUCGCUAGUAAUCGUAGAUCAGCAUGCUACGGUGAAUACGUUCCCGGGUCU